CCCGUGCUACAACCGCACUGACGAGGUUUUUAAGUAUCUUCUUGAUCACCUUAGUUCGGGCGAGUCUUAGUCUAAGA
Molecule: regulatory RNA element, 77 nt
Organism: Caryophanon tenue
Lineage: Bacteria; Bacillati; Bacillota; Bacilli; Caryophanales; Caryophanaceae
Source: Rfam